ACACCAAGUGUUCAGAUCCUGACUCAACCUUCUACAGACCAAGAAGCAAGCGAGAGAUCCACUUCAUCCUUCCAACAGACACCAAGUGUUCAGAUCCUGACUCAACCUUCUACAGACUAAGAAGCAAGCGAGAGAUCCACUUCAUCCUUCCAACAGACACCAAGUGUUCAGAUCCUGACUCAACCUUCUGCAGACCAAGAAGUGAGCAAGAGAUCCACUUCAUCCUUCCAACAGGUAAUUACACAUUAAUUUAUUCUAUUUGGAAUUAAGUAGAUGUCUCAGUUGGCUCCAUUACAUACAUAAAAUGCCCUUUCACUGUAUUAAAGCAAUCAGUUUGUGUGAAAUGUUCACAAUAUCAAUAUUGGCAUCACCUGUUUUUGAAUAGCGUAGCAGAAAGAAAUUGGCUAUACCAUUUGUUGGCACUAACUUCCCCUGAAAGCAUCAAAUUGAUCUUUAUUCUCACAAAAUUCUUUAUUUUUAGUCCUUUUUGCUGAUGUUUUUGUCCAUGUUACAUCUGCUGAUCAGUUUACAUGAUUGGAUUUCGGGGGAUGUAGAUCAUUUCACAUCAGUGUGGGGUUUAGAGCUUUCUUUGACAACAACAGAAGAUGUUAGAAGUCAGGAACAUGGACUCUAUAUGUGUUCAGUCGUCAUGUCCCCAUAUUGUUUUAGGCUGUGAAAGACAUAAGUGUGUUUCAGGUGAUGUCCCCAUAUUGUCUGAACCAUCGACUGUAGAGUGUGUGUUACGUGUCCUCAUAAUGUUGGGUAGCAGAUGCUGUACAGUGUUAGCAGUUUCUAUAGAGUUUGGCAUAAUGAGCCUAGAUCCUCCUGUGAAUUAUGUUUACUGAAACAAGUAUAAUAAUUUGUUUAUUAAUUAGUCAGGAUUUAUAGUAGAGAAUAUGUCUGACACUGUAUUGUUGUGUUUUGUUGCAGACACCAAGUGUUCAGAUCCUGACUCAACUUUCUGCAGACCAAGAAGUGAGCAUGAGAUCCACUUCAUCCUUCCAACAGACACCAAGUGUUCAGAUCCUGACUCAACCUUCUGUAGACCAAGAAGCGAGCGAGAGAUCCACUUCAUCCUUCCAACAGACACCAAGUGUUCAGAUCCUGACUCAACCUUCUGUAGACCAAGAAGCGAGCGAGAGAUCCACUUCAUCCUUCCAACAGGUAAUUACACAUUAAUUUGUUCCAUUUGGAAUUAAGUAGAUGUCUCAUUUGGCUCCAUUGCAUACAUGAAAUGCCCCUUCACUGUAUUAAAACAAUCAGUUUGUGUGAAAUGUUCACAAUAUCAAUAUUAACAUCACCUGUUUUUGAAUAGCGUAGCAGAAAGAAAUUGGCUAUACCAUUUGUUAGCUCUAACUUCCCCUUAAAGCAUCAAAUUAAUCUUUAUUCUCACAAAAUUCUUUAUUUUUAGUCCUUUUUGCUGAUAUUUUUGUCCAUCUUACAUCUGCUGAUUAGUUUGCAUGAUUGGAUUUCUGGGGAUGCAGAUCAUUUCACAUCAGUGUAGGGUUUAGAUCUUUCUUUGACAACAACAGAAGAUGUUUGAAGUCAGGAACAUGGACUCUAUAUGUGUUCAGUCGUCAUGUCCCCAUAUUGUUUUAGGCUGUGAAAGACUUGAGUGUGUUUCAGUUGAUGUCCCCAUAUUGUCUGACCCAACGACUGUAGAGAGUGUGUACCAUGUCCCCAUAUUGUUAUAGGCUGUGAAAGACUGAGUGUGUUUCAGUUGAUGUCCCCAUAUUGUCUGACCCAACGACUGUAGAGAGUGUGUACCAUGUCCUCAUAUUGUUAUAGGCUGUGAAAGACUGAGUGUGUUUCAGGUGAUGUCCCCAUAUUGUCUGACCCAUCGACUGUAGAGAGUGUGUACCAUGUCCUCAUAUUGUUAUAGGCUGUGAAAGACUGAGUGUGUUUCAGGUGAUGUCCCCAUAUUGUCUGACCCAACGACUGUAGAGAGUGUGUACCAUGUCCUCAUAUUGUUAUAGGCUCUGAAAGACUGAGUGUGUUUCAGGUGAUGUCCCCAUAUUGUCCGACCCAACGACUGUAGAGUGUGUGUUACAUGUCCUCAUAUUGUUGGGUAGCAGAUGAUGAACAGUGUUAGCAGUUUCUAUAGAGUUUGGCAUAAUGCGCAUAGAUCAUACUGUGAAUUAUGUUCACUGAAGCAAGUAUGAUCAUUUGUCUAUUAAUUAGUCAGGAUUUAUAGUAGAGAAUAUGUCUGACUCUGUAUUGUUGUGUUUUGUUGCAGACAUCAAGCGUUCAGAUCCUUACUCAACUUUCUGCAGACCAAGAUAUGAGCAAGAGAUCCACUUCAUCUUUCCAACAGGUAAUUACACAUUAAUUUAUUCUAUUUGGAAUUAAGUAGAUAUCUCAGUUGGCCCCCGUGCAUACAUGAAAUGCCCUUUCACUGUAUCGAAACAAUCAGUUUUUUUUUUUAAAUGUUCACAAUAUCAUCGAUAUCACCAUUGGAUUUCUGGGGAAGUAGAUCAAUUUACAUCAGUGUAGGGUUUAGAGCUUUCUUUGACAACAACAGAAGAAGUUAGAACCACUAUUAUUUCUAUUUUUGCUAUAAUUAAUUGCAUCAUAAUUUUUAGUUACAGUUCUGUGUAAUCUCAAACAAAUAAUGAAUCUCUGUCAUUUCAAUUAAGGUCAGCCAGACCACUGGAGGUGUCUCCUUCCACCAGACAGCUACUGCAAGGCAAGUAAGACAGCUGCCUUCUUCUCCUUCAUUCAAAAAUGUUAUGUUCUUUUACUGAGGAUAUUCACUAUUUGAGGAAAUAUUGUAUAAACUUAACUAGGACUAAGGUUUUUUACAUUUAAUUCUUGAUAUGGACAGUCAAGAGCAAGCCGCCAUCUGCAAAAUCUAAAGCGGCAUCAUGCUCGGUGUGAGGAACGUUACGAUGAGGCCAAGAAAAAGAUAUUUGAGAGAGAGAGGCAGAUGAUUUUGAGUCUGUUAACCAGAAUGAAUAAUUCUGUGAGUACGCAAAUAGGUCAUACGGUCAUAUGCAAAUUAAUUCUUUUCAAGGUAUUCAUUUUACAAGAACCUCCAUGGGCCUAGCAGAUUUUUUCUCAUUCACUUGUUGUUUCCAGUUCAUGCACCAUGUUUGAAAGACAAAGUUGCAACAGAUUUUUUCUCUCAAAAUAUUAGUUAUACUUCUAUGCGAUAGGUGAGUCAUAGUAACGAAAAUUUUCAUGCUAUGCAUUGUUCUCCUUUAUAUCAUACACCAUCAACAUCAAAUCGCACACUGAGAUGUGUUGUGGUUUAGGGAUUAUUGUCUUAAUAGUAUGUCAUCAUAGGUAGGUAUGUGAGGCAAAAUAUUUUCAAAGUGUUAUUUAAAUCAUUUAAACAUUUCCACUUUAAUAUAAGUGGGGUGAAAAUGUCUAUUCAGUCAAUUGUAUUUACAGUAUUAAUAAUGGUUUUAAAGGUUGAACAUCCCUUGGUCGAUGAUGGUGGAUUUCAUGAUGGAAACUCUGCAAGCUUAAGUGACCAGGUAAUGUAUACGACACAGUAGUGAAUGUAUUAGGAAUCCAAUGCAAUUCAAUUUCAUGUUUUUAAUGACUCAUCUCUUACAAGUCAUCACUUACAAUAUGUGAUGGUACUGUAUGGGGAAUGAUAACCUGGCUUUUUUCUCCUUUUUCCUUCAGAUCUCUACUGAUGAAUCUUCAGAUUGUACAGAUUAUGAAGAUAUUGACUAUGUUCCAGACUCAGGUGGCAAUUCCUCAGACACAAGUCUCUGUAGUAACGAACUGAGAAUCACAGAAUCUCUUGCUCCCAAAAAUUGUUCAAGGACAUGCCAGUGGGGAUAGCUACAGUACACAGUGGGGAGAGAAACCUACAAGUUUAAGUUUGUCACUGAGAAGCAGCAGUCAUAGCACUUCAGUGAUGAGUUGCAGUAACAAUUCCCUGGAGGCAAGAUUUCUGUAUUUUCUGUUCUGUUUCAAUUGACAUAUUUUGCCAGCAAUUAAAAAAGAAAAAAUGGCAGAAAGUGUUCCAUGUCUUUAUUCACAUGAACAUGUACUACAAAAUUUAUAAAUGCAAUACAAUAAGACUUAAAAAGCAGACUGACCACAUUUUUUAGCUAUGUCUCAUUUUAAGUCUCUACAAAGCUUAGUUUUACUGUGUUGUAUUAACAUGUGAAUAUCUGACAUUUCUGUCAGAGGUUACCUGACUGAUGAGCAUGACUAUUGUACACCUGUGUCUAUUAUAUAGGUAUUUCAAACAUAUCCAACAGGAGCCAAGGUAAUAAUACAGACCCUACCCUUUCCUAGUCUUUAUAAGUCAUGUAUACAUGAAAAUUUUGUGUGUAUCCAUGGGUUUCACAAUUCACCUAAACAUGAAAUAUCAGUGUGUGAUUUUAUUGCACCUAUAAGUCACAUAAACCUGACAGUGUCCUCACAAGUAGCAUUAAAAUCAGGUUUGACCAAAAGUUUGCCCUAGCCAAAAUCUCAACAGAUGGGCAUAUUCCUGGAAGCAUGGGGAAGAAACACUUUGAUUCCCCAGCCUCUAGGACCUUGGGAAAGGCAUGUUCCCAUUUUUCACAUUUUUGUCUUAUGUACCGAUAUGUCCCGAAAACACGUAUGUGUGUGUGUGUGUGUGUGUGUGUGUUUCUCCAUGCUCCUUCACACCUUGCUUUCAUUAGUAAUUUGGUUGUUAACAGAGCUUAUGUUCUGAUGUGUGUGUGUGUGUGUGUGUGUGUGUGUGGAGUGAGUUCGUGAAGUUUUUUACCUACAUGUAAAUCAGUUUGUGGUUGCAUAACAAAUCUAAAAUGAUACAGUAUUUUCAGUUUCAGGUUGAGUUUCGUCAGUAUCAGAUUUCUACCUU
This is a long non-coding RNA of Sparus aurata (gilthead seabream), 4810 nucleotides long. The record is from Ensembl. NCBI's taxonomy places the organism in Eukaryota, Metazoa, Chordata, Actinopteri, Spariformes, Sparidae.